This is a long non-coding RNA of Engraulis encrasicolus (European anchovy), 409 nucleotides long. RefSeq lists it as uncharacterized. Lineage: Eukaryota; Metazoa; Chordata; Actinopteri; Clupeiformes; Engraulidae. The record is from RefSeq and is a predicted model, not a curated record. The transcript has 3 exons.
CGCUGUCCAUCCUGGACACCAGCGCCAUCAAAGCAGGUUGAAACUCAGACACAGCUUACAAAGAAGCUAUGAAGAAAUGCCAGCUGAUUACACCUACGCUGACCAAGGCACAAGUACUGGGGUGAGAUGAGAGAUGUGGCACCCUGAGAAGAGGAAGACCAUCAACGAGUGGCCGACUGAGAAGAGGAAGACCAUCAACGAGUGGCCGAAGGAGCAGUUUGUCAAGUAUGCGCACCACUUCACCCCGUACCGUGCUACCUGCAGAUGAAUGUGGACAGAGCCAUCUAUGAACAGACAGGGGAGGUUCAAGUCACUCACCUACCUAGAGAUGUGGCAGUGGUACAGACCCCAGCUGGGAAGAAGACGCUCUGUCCACCUAUGAAACACAAGGGAGACAGUUACUGGAGGC